GAAAGCGAAAGAAGGCGAACGGGGGAUGCCUGGGCGUCAGGAGCCGAAGAAGGACGUGGUACACUGCGAAAAGCGUCGGGGAGCCGUGUGCAGGCGAGGAUCCGGCGAUGUCCGAAUGGGGAAACCCGGCUGCCUGGAAAGGCAGUCACCGCCGGCUGAACACAUAGGUCGGCGGGGGGAACCGGGGGAACUGAAACAUCUUAGUACCCCGAGGAAAAGAGAGUAUUCCGUGAGUAGUGGCGAGCGAAAGCGGAGGAGCCCAAACCGCGCCCUGCGGGGCGCGGGGUUGUAGGCCCCGGCAGGAAGCGCUGGACGUCUAGCCGAACGGCACUGGAAAGGCCGACCGGAGAGGGUGAAAGUCCCGUAGGCGAAAGAGGGAAGGCGCGGGCCGGAGAGCCUGAGUACCACGGGGCACGCUAAUCCUGUGGGAAGCAGGGGGGACCACCCUCCAAGGCUAAAUACUCCUGACGACCGAUAGCGGACAAGUACCGUGAGGGAAAGGUGAAAAGAACCCCGGUGAGGGGAGUGAAAGAGAACCUGAAACCGUUCGCUGACAGACGGUGGGAGCGCCAGUGUCCGGCCGGAAGGUCGGGCAGGCGUGACCGCGUGCCUUUUGGAGAAUGAGCCGGCGAGUUAAUCGGUGUGGCGCGGUUAAGGCAGGGACAGCCGGAGCCGGAGCGAAAGCGAGUCUGAAGAGGGCGAAGCAGCGAAGCUGCCCGUCGCACUGAUUAGACACGAAACCUGGUGAGCUACCCAUGGCCAGGGUGAAGGCGCGGUGAAACGCGUUGGAGGCCCGAACCGGUUGCUGUUGCAAAAGCAUCGGAUGAGCUGUGGGUAGGGGUGAAAUGCCAAACGAACCGGGAGAUAGCUUGUUCUCCCCGAAAUAGCUUUAGGGCUAGCGUCGUGGGAAGCGUGGCGGAGGUAGAGCACUGGAUGGACCUGGGGGCCGGAUAGGUUACCCAGCCCAACCAAACUCCGAAUGCCGUCACGCCGGACACGGCAGUCGGACGACGGGAGAUGAGUUUCGUCGUCGAGAGGGAAACAGCCCAGACCGUCGGCUAAGGUCCCGGAGUGCAGGCUAAGUGGGAAACGAAGUGGUCGUGUCGAGACAGCCAGGAGGUUGGCUUAGAAGCAGCCAUCCUUUAAAGAGUGCGUAACAGCUCACUGGUCAAACGCGGCUGCGCGGAUAAUGUAACGGGGCUCAAGCCUGCCACCGAAGCCACGGGGCGGCGGACGGAAGUGCGCCGCCGGUAGGGGAGCGUUGCCUGACCGAAGAAGCAUCAGGGAGACCCGGUGUGGAGGGCAGGCAAGUGAGAAUGCCGGCAUGAGUAGCGAGACAUGCGUGAGAACCGCAUGCGCCGAAAACCUGAGGUUUCCGACGGAAGGUCAAUCCGCGUCGGGUGAGUCGGGCCUUAGCCGAGGCCGAAAGGCGUAGGCGAUGGACAACCGGUCAACAGUCCGGUACCACGCCGGUGGAGCGAAGGGGGGACGCGUCCGUGAAGGCCAGCCUCCGGAUGGAGGGAGGUGCCAAGCGCGCGAAGCGAGGAGGGAGCCAGGGAAAUCCGGCUCCGGAGCGGAGCGGGCGAGGGCGGAGCGAAAGCUCAGAAGUGGCUGGAGCGGAGGCCGAGAAAAGCCUCUAAGCGAAGAAGCCGGCGUGCCCGUACCGCAAACCGACACAGGUAGGUAGGUGGAGAACACCAAGGCGCACGGGAGAACCCUCGUUAAGGAACUAGGCAAACUGGCCGCGUAACUUCGGGAGAAGCGGCGCCACCUUCGGGUGGCCGCAGAGAAAUGGCCCUGCCGACUGUUUAACAAAAACACAGGUCUCUGCCAACGCGAAAAGCGGACGUAUAGGGGCUGACGCCUGCCCGGUGCCGGAAGGUUAAGGGGAAGGGUUAGGGGCGACCUCGGUCGCCUCGAAGCUCAGAACCGAAGCCCCGGUGAACGGCGGCCGUAACUAUAACGGUCCUAAGGUAGCGAAAUUCCUUGUCGGGUAAGUUCCGACCCGCACGAAUGGCGUAACGAGUGGGGCACUGUCUCAACGAGGGACCCGGCGAAAUUGAAGUCUGCGUAAAGAUGCGCAGGACCCGCAGCAGGACAAAAAGACCCCGUGGAGCUUUACUGCAGCUUGCCAUAGCGUGAGGGCUGUGCCUGUGUAGGAUAGCUGGGAGGCAGAGAAGCCCGGACGCCAGUUCGGGUGGAGCCGGCCUUGAAAUACCAGCCUGGUGCAGACCUGACCCUAACCCCGCGCCGUGAGCCGGGCGGGGGACGGUGGCAGGUGGGCAGUUUGACUGGGGCGGUCGCCUGCGAAAGAGUAACGGAGGCGCCCAAAGGUUCCCUCAGGCUGAAUGGAAACCAGCCGCAGAGUGUAAAGGCAGAAGGGAGCUUGACUGUCAGGCCCACAGGCCGAGCAGGGACGAAAGUCGGGCUUAGUGAUCCUACGGCGCUGAGUGGAAAGGCCGUAGCUUACCGGAUAAAAGCUACCCCGGGGAUAACAGGCUAGUCUGGUCCAAGAGUUCACAUCGACGACCAGGCUCGGCACCUCGAUGUCGGCUCAUCGCAUCCUGGGGCUGGACCAGGUCCCAAGGGUUGGGCUGUUCGCCCAUUAAAGCGGUACGUGAGCUGGGUUCAGACCGUCGUGAGACAGGUCGGUCUCUAUCCGCUGUGGGUGUGCGAGAUUUGAGGGGCGCUGCUCCCAGUACGAGAGGACCGGAGUGGACCGACCGCUGGUGUGCCAGUUGUGUCGCCAGACGCAGCGCUGGGUAGCCACGUCGGGACGGGAUAACCGCUGAAAGCAUCUAAGUGGGAAGCCCACCCCAAAACCAGAUCUCGUUAUCAGACCGCUGGAAGACGACCAGCUUGAUAGGCGGGAGGUGUACGCACGGCAACGUGUUCAGCCAACCCGUACUAAGGGUCGAACGCUU
This 2924-nucleotide ribosomal RNA is filed under the name Chloroflexota bacterium. Its description in RNAcentral is "23S ribosomal RNA". It matches the Rfam family "Bacterial large subunit ribosomal RNA". The record is from RNAcentral. Lineage: Bacteria; Bacillati; Chloroflexota.